Long non-coding RNA from Populus euphratica (Euphrates poplar), 582 nucleotides. RefSeq lists it as uncharacterized. The record is from RefSeq and is a predicted model, not a curated record. The transcript is spliced from 2 exons. Lineage: Eukaryota; Viridiplantae; Streptophyta; Magnoliopsida; Malpighiales; Salicaceae.
AUAUGUCAAAAGAUGUCUUGAGCUCACAUUGAUGCAAGUUCUUCAUUGAACUUCUUGCUGGUCUGGUUGAGGAGCCACAUGUCGCCGAGUCCUCCUACCUUUGUAAUUGAACUAGGGUUUUCUUUUUUAAAGAAGACUGGUUAAUUAUAAGUAUCAUGCAUCCCUUUGCCUGUCGUAAAUAUGUCUCCAUUUAUUAACCAGACCUGCAGGAUCCUAAUAUUCAAGACUAAUAUCAGAUGCUUAUGGCACUGUGGUUGCUGAGUUCCUCACUGCACAGUACAAUGAGUUGCACCUGCUGCUUAUAAAUAGCCAAGUAGUAAGACAAACUAACAUAUCAGUAAAAGUGGGGAAGAGUUGCAAAAGAGGAAGGAGUCUAGCUAGCUGGUCAGCUGCAUUGGAUACAUUGAGGACAGGCAUGGAACUGUUGUAAACACAUCACCGAACUUCUAUAGAUAUUCAGGGAAGCGCAAAUACAAUGCCAUAGCUUUGCUAAUUGCUCGUACAUUUUCAGACUAGCUAAGAGAAGCAGAAACUUGUGUCAAAUUUAUGAGUUUAUGUUCAUUUGCUUUCCUUGCUUUGUUU